Molecule: long non-coding RNA, 1213 nt
Organism: Eptesicus fuscus (big brown bat)
Lineage: Eukaryota; Metazoa; Chordata; Mammalia; Chiroptera; Vespertilionidae
Exons: 6
Source: RefSeq, a predicted model, not a curated record
AUGCAAAUCUACUGCUUUGAUGUGGACCAAUGUUCAAGGUUUAAGGAAGCAGUUAAAGGAAAAGGGAAGAUAAGAGCUUACCCGUUCCAUUUGAGGUUAAUAGAAGAAAAUUUGGAUUACAAAGCAAUUAUUGAUGGAGUCGGGAAUGUUAGUCGCUUUGGUCGCCUGGGAACAGGAGCUUCCUCACUCCUGUGUUCCACGUCCGCAGGGAGUGUCCAUGCAAUGCACAAAGGAGGCCUCUCCACGCCUUCCUGACGACGGUCCUUGGGUUUGCAAGAGGGUGGCAGGAGCCGUGGCAGGUGUUCCUGUUCAGUCAUCACAAUCACAUCGCAACAGUUCAAUGUUAGAAGCAGUGUAAGCAGGACGUCCUUGCCUCAUUCUUGACCUCUACGGGAAAGUUCAAGAACUCAGUCUUAAAUAUGAUGUUGACUAUGGGCUUUUAAAGUUGGCUGUUUCUGCAAAGUUCUUCCAAUGCAACAGUCUGUUUACAUCAUGCUGAUGGACUGCUUACAAAACAAUUUUCAAGACCAACAGAACCAGUUCUCUAGGCGGGUGAUUUCCUCUUAUACUGGAAAGAAAGAGACUCAUGAAGCAGAAUGACAUUCGUUUGCAAAACCGUUUAGCAUUCAAGUGUACAAUUCAAUGACACAUCACCUGCUCACUGCAUCGCGAGCCAUCGCCCCAAGCAAUCCGUCCUCCAGACUCCUGUGGAAAACAGUAUGGAGUUUCCUCAAAAAGCUAAAAAUGGAACUGCCUUUUGACCUAGUGAUCCCACUUCUGGGCAUAGAUUCUAAGAAUCCUGAAGCACUAAUUCAAAAGAAUAUGUGCACCCCUAUGUUCAUUGCAGGAUUGUUUACAAUAGCCAAGAUCUGGAAGCAGCCCAAGUGCCCAUCAGUAGAUGAGUGGGUAAAGAAGCUCUGGUACAUGGGAUACUACAUGGUCAUACAAAAGAAGGAAAUCUUACCUUUUGUGCAGCAUAGAUGGACCCAAACAGUAUUAUGCUAAGUGAAAGAAGCCAGUCCGAGAAAGACAAAUAACAUUCCAUUUCUGUACAUAUCUCAUCUCGGACCAGAGAAAAGCAGUUCCCUGACGGACAACGGGCUGCCCAGGACUCCGAGGAGCUCUUGUUAGGGAAUGGCGGAGCUGGCCCUCGAAAGAGGUUGGAGCUAGACCGCCAGGAAUCUUGUGCAUGAUUAAAGAAUUCCAAACUUUA